Molecule: long non-coding RNA, 848 nt
Organism: Aedes aegypti (yellow fever mosquito)
Lineage: Eukaryota; Metazoa; Arthropoda; Insecta; Diptera; Culicidae
Exons: 2
Source: RefSeq, a predicted model, not a curated record
ACACGCAGAGAAUUAACAGCCAUUUAAAACAAUGAUUAUUUUUGUUAUUUUUAACAAGCACUGUCAAUUUGUUGUAAUUGAAUAAACUGUGUUGAAACAACAAUUAUUUUUAUCUAAACGAAUCAGUAAUAUUGUUGAAAUUACGGACAGCAUUCUCAAUCGGAUAUAUUUUUGAAACAACAAAACCUAGUUUCAUUUCAACUGGAAGAUUUAUUUGUUCCAAUUAUUUUCAUUGUUGGAGUGUUAAGUGACCCGCCAUUUUGUUUUUUUUUACUCUAAACAAAAGUAAAAAUGUCUGGCGCGGAAACAUUUAUUCGUUCUUCAGGAAAGGUUCAAUCAAUUGUUUUGAAACAUAUGAAACAACGAUCAAAACUAUUCUUGUGGAAUACAAGAUUGAAACGCUGAUACUAAUUUAGUAAAAGGAAGUUGAACUGCUAAUUUCAUGCCGUCGCUUGCGGAGCAGGAAUCCAAUGAUUAUACAUUUGGAGAGUGGCCCAGAUAAGUACAGCAGUAAUGUAAAAUGUAAAUAAAUUAAGUAUUAAAAAGCCAUACUCGUUUUUCUUCAUUCCAAAAUAAAAACAAAAUGAAAAGAGAGGGGACUGCGGCCAAUAAAAAGAUGUUAUUAUUUCAAAUAAAUAUAUUAUAAAAUCAAAAAACAGCUAUGCUUUGAUAUAAAACAGUAAAUUUUCAUUUUAAUGCAAAAAUAUUGUUGUCUCAAAAGAAAAACGCAUUGAAUCAAAUAUUUCUUUUGUUGAACCGCGUUAUACCCAGCUGUCAAAUUCAACAAUAAAUAUUUUUGAACUAAAUCAUUUAUAGUUAUUGAAACAAUGAAAGGCUCUUAUAAGCCA